RNAcentral lists this transfer-messenger RNA (372 nucleotides) under Trueperaceae bacterium. It matches the Rfam family "transfer-messenger RNA". From Rfam's summary of the family: Bacterial tmRNA, also known as 10Sa RNA or SsrA, is named for its dual tRNA and mRNA-like properties. Its role is to liberate the mRNA from a stalled ribosome. Lineage: Bacteria; Thermotogati; Deinococcota; Deinococci; Trueperales; Trueperaceae. The record is from RNAcentral.
GGGGGCGACCUGGUUUCGACGGGGCUCACGGAGAGUAUGGUUGCGUGUCGCGGGUGCAGCUGGCCGCGUUAGUAAGCUGCACAAGCCAUAACUGGCAACAGAAACAAUAGUAGCUUCGGCUACGCAAUGGCUGCUUAAACCAGCCAAUAGCUCGCCAGAAACCCAGCCUAUGGUUCGCUGGUUUGAGCUUCCUAAAGUAGGCUAGCUAAUAACUUCUUGUGUUGGGUAAUUAGCGAAAUUUAAGACACCUAAGCCUGAGAAAUUAGUUCGUUAAUACACUAUUCUCAGGUCGAAAACUGAGUAAUAACUACACACGUAGAAGCCUACUCAAAGGUGUUCCGGACGCGGGUUCGACUCCCGCCGCCUCCACCA